Chiloscyllium plagiosum (whitespotted bambooshark) is the source of this 320-nucleotide long non-coding RNA. RefSeq lists it as uncharacterized. NCBI's taxonomy places the organism in Eukaryota, Metazoa, Chordata, Chondrichthyes, Orectolobiformes, Hemiscylliidae. The record is from RefSeq and is a predicted model, not a curated record.
GUUGCAGCAGAAAUGAAAGAUGUUGGAUCCUAGGUUCUGAAAUCCAUCUGUUGCUGUGCUGUCUUACAUUAAUGAAUCACUGCAGUCACUGAAAAAAGAUGACAAGAACAGGAGAUAUUCCUUGCCAACCAUGUGAUAGAGAGAGAGAGAAACACACACACAUUUGAGCCUCUAUCAUUACUAACCAGAGCUCCAGAUUAUAAUCUGCGUGUACAACUCAUUCAUCCUGUGUGAAAACCACCGACAUCAUGUGGAAACCACCUGACAUUUUUAAAGGGAGCAAUAUUGCCAGACUUGCUGAACUUUUCCAGCAACUUCUG